Molecule: non-coding RNA, 690 nt
Organism: Rattus norvegicus (Norway rat)
Lineage: Eukaryota; Metazoa; Chordata; Mammalia; Rodentia; Muridae
Source: RefSeq, a predicted model, not a curated record
GUGCUUCCUGGUAAACAUUUGGACACACAGGGAGGAAGGAGCUGACUCCAAGCUGUUCUCUGAAAGGCAGCACACAGGGCCUAACCUCAGUCUGCCUUCAUGGCUGACCCCAGAACCACCCGGUGCCAGGGACGGAAGACUCCAAUCAGGCUCGAUAAACCCAACAGUAGCAGCUGCCUGGGAAUGGCAACACCAGGCAAAGCAGACAAGUCCUACUCAACAACUGCACAGAACUAAUGUUCAAAAAUACAGCUGACUUCGCCCAAAGCUGCAAAUAACCCAAAGAUGAAUGGAGAUUAGAAUGGUGGUAUAUCCAUUCAGUGGAAUAGUACUCAGCAGUUAAAAGGAAUUGUAGCCACAGUAAAGACGGUGUGGAUGGAUCUAACAUCAAGUUGAUGAAAAACGGGCCCUAUCAAGAGGACACAUUGAACUGCACCAUUCAACUUCGUCGGGGUCCAGAGACAAGUUGAACCUACGCGAAUUAGAAACAAAGAUCAGGAUAAAGGUUGCCUUGGAGAUGGGUGGGUGAGGUUACUGACUGGGAAGGAAGGUGAGGUAACCAUUGAGGGAUCUGGGAAUCUUUACAUAGGUAGCAAUUACCUGAGGUGUACCCACAACUAAAAGCAUGGUGAGCUUACACUUAAUUAGUCUACAUUAUACAUGUGUGUAAUACAUAUGACAUUUGAGAUA